CAGUGUAAUCCAAGCAAAGUGUGCUUUAGUUUGGUGACCCGAAACUAAGUGAGCUACUUCAAGACAGCCUAUUAAUAGGGCAAACCCGUCUCUGUUGCAAAAGAGUGGGAAGAGCUUUGAGUAGAGGUGACAGACCUACCGAACUUAGUUAUAGCUGGUUGCCUGGGAAUUGGAUAGAAGUUCAGCCUCCCGGAUUCUUUAUUCACCUCAGUUUUACCCCUUCUGACACCUUUGAGAAACCGAGAGAGUUAGUCAAAGGGGGUACAGCCCCUUUGAAUCAAGAUACAACUUUUCCAGGAGGGUAAAGAUCAUAAUAACAGAAGGUACUAUAUUUAGGUGG
RNAcentral lists this ribosomal RNA (340 nucleotides) under Etheostoma exile (Iowa darter). RNAcentral describes it as "partial 16S ribosomal RNA". It matches the Rfam family "Bacterial large subunit ribosomal RNA", at positions 668 to 1079 of the family's 2925-position model. Lineage: Eukaryota; Metazoa; Chordata; Actinopteri; Perciformes; Percidae. The record is from RNAcentral.